Apis mellifera (honey bee) is the source of this 2284-nucleotide long non-coding RNA. RefSeq lists it as uncharacterized. NCBI's taxonomy places the organism in Eukaryota, Metazoa, Arthropoda, Insecta, Hymenoptera, Apidae. The record is from RefSeq and is a predicted model, not a curated record. The transcript is spliced from 2 exons.
GAAAAAAUUGUCUUUGAUUUUCUAAAAAGAAUCCGCAAUUACUUAGUUGCCAACCCAAUAAAACAAAGCGUUGAUUACGAUGAGAAAGAAAAUAUUAUUGUUCGUAUUACUCGUCGUGUAUUUUGUAUAUCGCGCCUUUUCUAUAUAAAAUAGAAUAGAAUAAAUUAUAAAUAAAUCGUCGCUUUAAAUAGAUGCUAUUUUCGACGUUAAAAUACAGAUAAUUCAUUAAGUUAAUUAUUAAGUUUUUAUUCGUUCGUUAAACAAAUUCCUAUCUUAAUAAUAAGUACCAUUACUUUUGGACAGGUACGACGAUCAUUUGUAAUCGUGACACAUCUUUCUCUCUGUAUAAGUAUAUAUGUAUUUCUUUCAGUCAAAUAUUUUAUCAUUAAAGAAAAAACGACAUAUCGUUAAGUCUUAUUUUUAAACGAUUAACUGUACAAUUAAACCAUCGUAUGUAUUUUUAUCUAUUUCAAAAGAACACGUAUUAAAUAUUAAAAUUAAUAUAUUUAUAUAUAUAUAUAUACUUCAAAAUUCAUUAAUCCUUAAUAAGUUAUAUAUACGAUGACCCAGGAAGUAACUUCACUUUAUAAUUUUCAAUUAAGAUAAAAUGAAGCGAAGGAAGAGAUGUAUACAAAUAAAUUUGUGGUAUGCACAAAUUUUCAUCUAAUUGAAUAUUUCGAUAUAAUUUUUCUUUUAACUUCAGUUUUAUUUUAAUCUACCAGGAACUUUGAAUUUUAUCGUAUUACGGCACUGAAGUAUUAAAAAGAAUAGCACGUUCAUGUACGCUCUGUAUAUCCACAUGCUUUUGGCCAUAUAUAUAUAUAUAUAUAUAUAUAUAUAUAUAUAUAUAUGUAAUAAAAAAUAACACGUUUAUAAUAACACGUUCAGAGACAAGAGUCAAAAGGGGUGUGCUCGUUAUUAUAACGGAGGUGAUUUUUAUUUCAACAAAAAUAACAAUUUUUUUACAUUGAACUGUUUUGAUAAUAAUAUUAUCGUGUGUUAUGCUACACCUGUAGUUUACUGUAGGCGUGGUAUGUUCUCGCUCGCUAUUAAUUUGUAGUUAAUUUAUUUGAAUUAAUCGCAUUAAUAGCGGGUUUUUUUCAUAGGUAAUAUCGCUUCUUAGCCUUUUUUUUUUAUUUAUUUAUUCAUUUAUUUAUUUAAUAAUCAUUAUUUCACUUCUCCUUCCUCUUUUUUUCUUUUUCUUCCUUUUUUUUUCUUUGAAAUCUCGUUUCGUUUAACUUUUUGUCUCCUUAGCUUCUCGCGUUUUGCACGACCGCAUUGUAAGCAUUAUCAUCGUCAUCAUCAUCAUUGUUAUUACUAUUUAUUAUUUAUUAUUAUUAUUAUUAUUAAUAUUAUCAAUAUUAUUAUUAAUAUUAUUAUUGUUAUAAUUAUUAUAAUUAUUAUUAUUACUCUUAUUGUUAUUAUUAUUAUUAUUUAUUAUUAUUUAUUAUUAUUAUUAUAGUACAAUAUUUUUAGGAGGGAGCUGAGUACCUCGGCGUGUUUUAUUUCGUUCCUUUUUUUUUUUUCUUUUUUCUCUUCUCUUUAUCUAUGUACAGACUUUUUACUUGAAAGAGAUCGAUCGAUAAUUAUCGAUCUUCUUCCAGGUUACAAAUGAGUAGGUACUUACAUACACACGUCUUAUACCUUAUAUACCUUACGUCGUUUCUAGUCUAUAGAAUAGUCUAGAAUAGUGUGAUUUGCCUGUCAUAUCAACGAUAAUAUUCGUUUCUUUUUUUUUUUUCCUUUUUAUUUUUGUUUUUUUUUUUUCUUUUUUUUUUAUCGUGUCUGUGUGUUCGUGUAUGUAUAUAUAUAUAUAUAUUUUUAUUUUCAUUCGACGUUUUUUUUACGUUGCUUAAAAAGUACUUAAAAAGAGGGCUGCCAUUGUCGCACUCCGCUUUCUAUUCUCUUUCUAUUUCUUCUUCUUCUCUCUCUCUCUCUCUCUCUCUCUCUAAAACGUACGGCACGUACGGCAAUUCCACCAUUUUUCCACCGCAUACAACAGUGUCACUUCAGAGCGAACGUUGAAAAUCUUGGAAAAAAAAUAAAUUUUUUACAUGUGAUUGCGAUAUUGCAUCCAACAGAUUUGAUGCAACGCAAACAUGUAAAUGAUUUUACAUCGGAAGGAAGUUUCUUCUUAUCACAAUUGGAGAGAUCGAACCAUGUUGUGUAAAUGGAAUUUAAUAAUAAAAAACGAUAGAUGGAAAAGAAAAAAAGAGUGAAUACAUUCAAUCGCUUCAAUUGCUGCAAAAAAGAAAGCAGAGAAACGCCAAGGGGGCACUCUUCC